GCCUUGGUGGUAUGGUGGUAACGCGCGUUCUCGGUAUGGAUGAAACGCGGGUUCGAUUCCCAUGUAAGCCU
Molecule: non-coding RNA, 71 nt
Organism: Parelaphostrongylus tenuis
Lineage: Eukaryota; Metazoa; Nematoda; Chromadorea; Rhabditida; Metastrongylidae
Source: the annotation of a GenBank genome assembly